RNAcentral lists this ribosomal RNA (397 nucleotides) under Naupactus cervinus. RNAcentral's name for it is "Asynonychus cervinus partial 16S ribosomal RNA". It matches the Rfam family "Bacterial large subunit ribosomal RNA", at positions 1856 to 2564 of the family's 2925-position model. Lineage: Eukaryota; Metazoa; Arthropoda; Insecta; Coleoptera; Curculionidae. The record is from RNAcentral.
AACCUGCCCAAUGAGUAGUUAAAUGGCCGCGGUAUUUUGACCGUGCAAAGGUAGCAUAAUCAUUAGUUUCUUAAUUGGAAGCUGGAAUGAAAGGUUGGAUGAAAAAAUUACUGUCUCUAUCUAAAUUUUUUAGAAUUUUAUUUUUAAGUAAAAAAGCUUAAAUGUGAAUAGAAGACGAGAAGACCCUAUAGAGUUUUAAUUUGGUUGGGGUGAUCAAAAAAUUUAAUAAACUUUUUUUAUAUAAAACCAUUAAUUUAUGAAUAUUUGAUCCUUUAUUUAAGAUUAAAAGAUUAAAUUACCUUAGGGAUAACAGCGUAAUUUUUUUUAAGAGUUCAAAUCGAAAAAAAAGUUUGCGACCUCGAUGUUGGAUUAAAAUAAAAUUUUGGUGUAGAAGCUA